AACGCACAUUGCGCCCAUUAGUAUUCUAGUGGGCAUGCCUGUUCGAGCGUCAUUUCAACCCUUAAGCCCCUGUUGCUUAGCGUUGGGAGCCUACAGCACUCGCUGUAGCUCCUUAAAAUUAGUGGCGGAGUCGGUUCACACUCUAGACGUAGUACUUUUUACCUCGCCUGUAGUGAGACCGGUCCCCUGCCAUAAAACCCCCCAAUUUUUAAAAGGUUGACCUCGGAUCAGGUAGGAAUACCCGCUGAACUUAA
This 254-nucleotide unclassified non-coding RNA is filed under the name uncultured fungus. RNAcentral describes it as "sequence contains ITS2". Lineage: Eukaryota; Fungi. The record is from RNAcentral.